Molecule: ribosomal RNA, 458 nt
Filed under: uncultured bacterium
Lineage: Bacteria
Description: partial 16S ribosomal RNA
Rfam family: Bacterial small subunit ribosomal RNA
Source: RNAcentral
CCUACGGGUGGCAGCAGUGAGGAAUAUUGGUCAAUGGACGAGAGUCUGAACCAGCCAAGUAGCGUGAAGGAUGACUGCCCUAUGGGUUGUAAACUUCUUUUAUAUGGGAAUAAAACGUUCCACGUGUGGGAUUUUGUAUGUACCAUAUGAAUAAGGAUCGGCUAACUCCGUGCCAGCAGCCGCGGUAAUACGGAGGAUCCGAGCGUUAUCCGGAUUUAUUGGGUUUAAAGGGAGCGUAGGUGGAUUGUUAAGUCAGUUGUGAAAGUUUGCGGCUCAACCGUAAAAUUGCAGUUGAAACUGGCAGUCUUGAGUACAGUAGAGGUGGGCGGAAUUCGGGGUGUAGCGGUGAAAUGCUUAGAUAUCAUGAAGAACUCCGAUUGCGAAGGCAGUUCACUGGACUGCAACUGACACUGAGGCUCGAAAGUGUGGGUAUCAAACAGGAUUAGAUACUUGUAGUC